RNAcentral lists this transfer RNA (88 nucleotides) under Deltaproteobacteria bacterium. RNAcentral describes it as "tRNA-Ser". It matches the Rfam family "tRNA". From Rfam's summary of the family: Transfer RNA (tRNA) molecules are approximately 80 nucleotides in length. Their secondary structure includes four short double-helical elements and three loops (D, anti-codon, and T loops). Further hydrogen bonds mediate the characteristic L-shaped molecular structure. tRNAs have two regions of fundamental functional importance: the anti-codon, which is responsible for specific mRNA codon recognition, and the 3' end, to which the tRNAs corresponding amino acid is attached (by aminoacyl-tRNA synthetases). tRNAs cope with the degeneracy of the genetic code in two manners: having more than one tRNA (with a specific anti-codon) for a particular amino acid; and 'wobble' base-pairing, i.e. permitting non-standard base-pairing at the 3rd anti-codon position. Lineage: Bacteria; Pseudomonadati; Myxococcota; Myxococcia. RNAcentral also lists the same sequence under 1 other name. The record is from RNAcentral.
GGAGAGAUGGCCGAGUGGCUUAAGGCGGCGGUCUUGAAAACCGUUGUAGGGCAACCUACCGGGGGUUCGAAUCCCUCUCUCUCCGCCA